UACGUAGGGGGCAAGCGUUGUCCGGAUUUACUGGGCGUAAAGAGCGUGUAGGCGGCCACGCAGGUCCGUUGUGAAAACUCGAGGCUCAACUUCGAGCUGUCGGUGGAAACUUUCUGGCUAGAGUCCGGAAGAGGAGAAUGGAAUUCCUGGUGUAGCGGUGAAAUGCGCAGAUAUCAGGAAGAACACCUAUGGCGAAGGCAGCUCUCUGGGACGGUACUGACGCUGAGACGCGAAAGCGUGGGGAGCGAACAGG
This 253-nucleotide ribosomal RNA is filed under the name uncultured bacterium. Its description in RNAcentral is "partial 16S ribosomal RNA". It matches the Rfam family "Bacterial small subunit ribosomal RNA", at positions 524 to 776 of the family's 1533-position model. The record is from RNAcentral.